CUCGUAGGCGGCCAACUAAGUCAGACGUGAAAUCCCUCAGCUUAACUGGGGAACUGCGUCUGAUACUGGAUGGCUUGGAUUCGGGAGAGGAAUGCGGAAUUCCAGGUGUAGCGGUGAAAUGCGUAGAUAUCUGGAGGAACACCGGUGGCGAAGGCGGCAUUCUGGACCGACAUUGACGCUGAGGAGCGAAAGCCAGGGGAGCAAAC
This 206-nucleotide ribosomal RNA is filed under the name uncultured bacterium. Its description in RNAcentral is "partial 16S ribosomal RNA". It matches the Rfam family "Bacterial small subunit ribosomal RNA", at positions 568 to 773 of the family's 1533-position model. The record is from RNAcentral.